AUAAGAUCAGGUUAAUUCACAGACAAUACAAUCUCCCUGAAUUGGAGCAACCCUCCAGCAGGCUGAUAGGGGGAUUCAGGGGGUGUGCAGGGUUGGAGCCCCCAGACUAGGUCCUGCUUUGCCUGGAAAAGACUGGCUUGACUACUGAGCUCUCACAGUGGAGAAGUGGGGUCUGACAUGAAGGAAGAUAUCCUGUGCUCCAUGGAUCCGGCUCCCGAAGCUAGCUGCUGGCUCCUUGCUGGAGCUUCAGAAUGAAAUUUAGAAGGUCGAAAGACAUCAUAUGGCUGUUUUCAAAGGAAAAGAGGUGCCUGCAAAAGCUCCAGCAGGAGGAAUUUUCGUGGCGUUUAGAUAAUUUAUCAACUGGGCUCCCCAACAGAUAAAAGGUUGCGUUUUCCUUUCCAACAUUUGGGAGGAUGGAAGAGACACAGCGUCGGCCAUUCAGGGGCACGGAGCAUCAGAAGCAAACAGAGAAGGUAGGUGGGCGGGUGUGGUUCCCCACACAGGGUACCAGUAGUGAUGCCUACUGGCUCUUUCUGUAGACACCAGGCCCUGUUUU
This 556-nucleotide long non-coding RNA is filed under the name Vulpes vulpes (red fox). Its description in RNAcentral is "lncRNA (ENSVVUG00000010680.1)". Lineage: Eukaryota; Metazoa; Chordata; Mammalia; Carnivora; Canidae. The record is from RNAcentral.